Molecule: ribosomal RNA, 794 nt
Filed under: uncultured bacterium
Lineage: Bacteria
Description: bacterial SSU rRNA
Rfam family: Bacterial small subunit ribosomal RNA
Source: RNAcentral
GCCCUUAGAGUUUGAUCCUGGCUCAAGACGAACGCUGGCGGCGCGCCUAACACAUGCAAGUCGAACGGAGCUUAGAGAGCUUGCUUUUUAAGCUUAGUGGCGAACGGGUGAGUAACGCGUGAGUAACCUGCCCUAGAGUGGGGGACAACAGUUGGAAACGACUGCUAAUACCGCAUAAGCCCACGGUGCCGCAUGGCACUGAGGGAAAAGGAUUUAUUCGCUUUAGGAUGGACUCGCGUCCAAUUAGCUAGUUGGUGAGGUAACGGCCCACCAAGGCGACGAUUGGUAGCCGGACUGAGAGGUUGAACGGCCACAUUGGGACUGAGACACGGCCCACACUCCUACGGGAGGCAGCAGUGGGGGAUAUUGCACAAUGGGGGAAACCCUGAUGCAGCGACGCCGCGUGGAGGAAGAAGGUUUUCGGAUUGUAAACUCCUGUCGUUAGGGACGAUAAUGACGGUACCUAACAAGAAAGCACCGGCUAACUACGUGCCAGCAGCCGCGGUAAAACGUAGGGUGCAAGCGUUGUCCGGAAUUACUGGGUGUAAAGGGAGCGCAGGCGGGAAGACAAGUUGGAAGUGAAAACCAUGGGCUCAACCCAUGAAUUGCUUUCAAAACUGUUUUUCUUGAGUAGUGCAGAGGUAGAUGGAAUUCCCGGUGUAGCGGUGGAAUGCGUAGAUAUCGGGAGGAACACCAGUGGCGAAGGCGGUCUACUGGGCACCAACUGACGCUGAGGCUCGAAAGCAUGGGUAGCAAACAGGAUUAGAUACCCUGGUAGUCCAUGCCGUAAACGA